UUCUUCCUCUGCCAUAGCAUUUUUCAGCUGCCUGUUUGCAAAAUUACAGCAGUUGAAUAAACAUCUCUGUCUUUGCUAAUGAAAUGAGGAGAUUCGCAGUACACAGGUACGCAGGCUAUGCAAAUGUAUUAACAUGUCUCUCUGUGUGUACCAGAAAGCCGUCGUUUUGGUCCAUUUCCUACGGCCUUCCAGAAAGAGAGUAGUCAAGGUAGCCCAGCUAAAGACCUUCAUGCUGUCUCAGGCCAGCAAGCUUGGAGCAGAGCUGGAGAGGACAUCAUCUUGCAGGCAUUUCCGCACCCACCUAUCUUUGUACCUGCCGCAGUGCUUGGGCCUCCCCCAACUUAUCUCCCAGACUUAUGUUAUUCCUCACUUGGUCCUCACACCCAAUCGGUG
Long non-coding RNA from Ornithodoros turicata, 393 nucleotides. RefSeq lists it as uncharacterized. Lineage: Eukaryota; Metazoa; Arthropoda; Arachnida; Ixodida; Argasidae. The transcript has 3 exons. The record is from RefSeq and is a predicted model, not a curated record.